Molecule: ribosomal RNA, 253 nt
Filed under: uncultured bacterium
Lineage: Bacteria
Description: partial 16S ribosomal RNA
Rfam family: Bacterial small subunit ribosomal RNA
Source: RNAcentral
UACGAAGGGGGCUAGCGUUGCUCGGAAUCACUGGGCGUAAAGCGCACGUAGGCGGCUUUUUAAGUCAGAGGUGAAAUCCUGGAGCUCAACUCCAGAACUGCCUUUGAUACUGGAGAGCUUGAGUCCGGGAGAGGUGAGUGGAACUGCGAGUGUAGAGGUGAAAUUUGUAGAUAUUGGGAAGAACACCGGUGGCGAAGGCGGCUCACUGGCUCAUUACUGACGCUCAGGCGCGAUAGCGUGGGGAUCAAACAGG